CUGCUCAGGCCUGUGAGUCUCUUACAUUUUGGAACUCUCUACACUCCUGUAACUUUCUGUUUGCUUGCUAUUUAGGGAAUUGUCACCAAAAUACUCAAUGUCCAAGCUGGUCUCUUUUUACUGGAUAACCAAGUCUGCUUGUGCCUUGCUUACCUCCCAGUGUUGAAAUCUGCACGUGGACUCCGGCCAGGAGCAUGUGUGGAACUCAUCGAUGUCCACCUCCUGCAGAAGCCUCUUGUAUCCUUCCCUUUCAUUGUACUUGGUGCAUGCCUGAGCAGCACUGUUGUGCUGAAGAGGUUUUCAAGGCUCAGCACCCCCUACCAGCCACCAACCUCUUCAGGAAAUCUCUGCUUACAGCUGCUCUUCCGCUACAAUCUUGGUAUGCCACUCUACCUCUGGCUGGUGAGCCUCCUGGAGACCUUUGAGGAGAGGUUUUCCUGUUUCUUUGGGCGCCGUCAACUGCUUAGUUGUACUCACCAAAACCCAGGAGCUGCUGAAAAGUUCCUUGUCCCCCUUCUGCAAGCUAUGGUGCCAGACAGAGAGAAAGCAAGAGAUAUUUAUAACGAAAUUCUAGCAAAAGUACACCAUUGUCCCCUGCAGAAAGUGAGUAAAUGCUCUGUGAGCUGUUUGCUGUUUGUCUGAAGGGAAGAAAAUCAGCUGAUUCAUUCUUUCUCUCUUUUUUCAUAGUAUUUGACUCUGGACCCCCCAUGCCAGGCCCCAUCUCUGUCUGCAGUUUGCCAUGUGGCCCAACAGAAGAGCUGGGAAGGCUUCAGUCCAUCGCAGUUGCUCUCUCCCUUGGAAGCACAGCAUAUGGGCACCCAGGACCUGAAUCGCAGACUGGUCUGGUCCUACUGCACACUCUCAGCAGGAAGUUUCCAGCCCCGACUAAUACUGCUGGGUGUGCUGAGGGUCUCAUCCAGGAGCGGUUCGCUCCAGCUGCAGGACAAGAGCGGCACACUUCACUGUGUGAUAUCCCAGAAGGAUGGUAGCCCCUUUGCCAAUACAGCUCUCAUAGGAUCACUCUUGCAGGUGGAAAACUACCAACUUGUAGUGGAGAGAUUCCUUCAGACUGAUUUUCCCUCCUGGGAACACCUGGAAAAUCUUGAACAUGUGAGGGAGAAAAAAACCAGGUGAGUCCCUUUAUUCAGUAUGCAAGUAAAAUCAUGACUCUCCAGUUCC
Molecule: long non-coding RNA, 1179 nt
Filed under: Manacus vitellinus (golden-collared manakin)
Lineage: Eukaryota; Metazoa; Chordata; Aves; Passeriformes; Pipridae
Description: lncRNA (ENSMVIG00005004526.1)
Source: RNAcentral